This 465-nucleotide ribosomal RNA is filed under the name uncultured bacterium. RNAcentral's name for it is "partial 16S ribosomal RNA". It matches the Rfam family "Bacterial small subunit ribosomal RNA", at positions 338 to 795 of the family's 1533-position model. The record is from RNAcentral.
CCUACGGGAGGCAGCAGUGGGGAAUCUUGCGCAAUGGGCGAAAGCCUGACGCAGCGACGCCGCGUGAGGGAUGAAGGUCUUCGGAUCGUAAACCUCUGUCAGCAGGGAAGAACGGUCGCUGUGCUAAUCAGCAGUGAAUUGACGGUACCUGCAAAGGAAGCACCGGCUAACUCCGUGCCAGCAGCCGCGGUAAUACGGAGGGUGCGAGCGUUAAUCGGAAUUACUGGGCGUAAAGCGAUCGUAGGCGGUAUGUCAAGUCAAGGGUGAAAGCCCCGCGCUUAACGUGGGAACUGCCUUUGAAACUGGCAAACUGGAGUGUGGGAGAGGAUAGUGGAAUUCCAGGUGUAGGAGUGAAAUCCGUAGAUAUCUGGAGGAACAUCAGUGGCGAAGGCGACUAUCUGGCACAUAACUGACGCUGAGGAGCGAAAGCGUGGGUAGCAAACAGGAUUAGAUACCCCUGUAGUC